This 254-nucleotide ribosomal RNA is filed under the name uncultured bacterium. RNAcentral describes it as "partial 16S ribosomal RNA". It matches the Rfam family "Bacterial small subunit ribosomal RNA", at positions 524 to 776 of the family's 1533-position model. The record is from RNAcentral.
UACGAGGGGGGCGAGCGUUGUUCGGAAUUAUUGGGCGUAAAGGGUGCGUAGGCGGUUUGGUAAGUCUUAUGUGAAAUCUACAGGCUCAACUUGUAGUCUGCAUGAGAAACUGCCGGGCUUGAGUGUGGGAGAGGUGAGUGGAAUUCCUGGUGUAGCGGUGAAAAUGCGUAGAUAUGCGGAGGAACACCAGUGGCGAAGGCGGCGACCUGGGCCAAUAUUGACGCUGAGGUGCGAAAGCGUGGGGAGCAAACAGG